AGUGGGAUAACUGGGUCAAAUGGUGGUUCUAUUUCAGUUUUUCUAAGGAAUCUCUGUACUGUUUUCCAGAUUGGAUGUACCAAUUUGCAGUCCCUCCAGCAAU
This 103-nucleotide microRNA precursor is filed under the name Marmota monax (woodchuck). The record is from RNAcentral. Lineage: Eukaryota; Metazoa; Chordata; Mammalia; Rodentia; Sciuridae.